This 498-nucleotide ribosomal RNA is filed under the name uncultured bacterium. RNAcentral's name for it is "partial 16S ribosomal RNA". It matches the Rfam family "Bacterial small subunit ribosomal RNA", at positions 29 to 523 of the family's 1533-position model. The record is from RNAcentral.
AAUGAACGCUGGCGGCAGGCCUAAUACAUGCAAGUCGAGGGAGAAUGUUGGAUUCGUCUGACAUGAAACCGGCGCACGGGUGCGUAACACGUAUGCAACCUACCUUUAACUGGGGUAUAGCUCAGAGAAAUCUGAAUUAAUCCCCCAUAAGACUACGACGUGGCAUCAUGAUGUAGUUAAAGCUCCGGCGGUUAAGGAUGGGCAUGCGGUACAUUAGCUAGUUGGUGAGGUAAUGGCUCACCAAGGCUACGAUGUAUAGGGGGUCUGAGAGGAUGCACCCCCACACUGGUACUGAGACACGGACCAGACGCCUACGGGAGGCAGCAGUAGGGAAUAUUGGUCAAUGGACGCAAGUCUGAACCAGCCAUGCCGCGUGAAGGAUGAAGGCCCUAUGGGUCGUAAACUUCUUUUAUUAGGGAAGAAGAAACGGGAUGCGUCCUGUACUGACGGUACUUAAUGAAUAAGGAUCGGCUAACUUCGUGCCAGCCGCCGCGGUAA